Molecule: long non-coding RNA, 571 nt
Organism: Pipra filicauda (Wire-tailed manakin)
Lineage: Eukaryota; Metazoa; Chordata; Aves; Passeriformes; Pipridae
Exons: 3
Source: RefSeq, a predicted model, not a curated record
CGUGUCCAGGCCGGGCCUAGUCCCGGGCCUAGCGUUGUCCGGCCAAGCCUUGUCCCGGGCCGGGUCAGGAGCCGCCCUAGCUGUGGGAAAGGCCUGUCCCGGGCAGCGGGCACCGGCCUCGCCGGGGUGUGCAGGCCUGGAGGAGCUCUCCCCUCAGGGAGGGACUGGCUGAGGGACCUUUCCGCGUCGGGUUAGGCUGCUUCAGCACCUUUAUUUUUCACGUGUUCCGAGGGAGGUCGUGAGGUUUCAGGUAGAUACAAGGGUGUCAAUUCACAGGCUUGGCACCCCUGGCCCGAGAAUGAGCACUGUGCUGAUUAAAAUCAGAUGCCAAAGCACUUCCUGCCCCUCUUCCGGUGGUGACUGAAUGAUGGCAUUGCAGAAAUGAUGGAAAAUCCACAGCCAGGAGCUGUGCAACCCUCCCUGGCAAGAGCUGGGCUGUGGCUGAGGAGCAGCCCAUGGGAUUCACCACACAGCAGCCAAACCCACCCUGCCAACCCCAAAAUUAAACUGCAAUGCUUAAUUAUCCAGCUGAGGAUGCUCAGGGACAGCAGGUGACAACUGAAGGGGUGGC